This 4286-nucleotide unclassified non-coding RNA is filed under the name Hevea brasiliensis (rubber tree). The record is from RNAcentral. Lineage: Eukaryota; Viridiplantae; Streptophyta; Magnoliopsida; Malpighiales; Euphorbiaceae.
UCAACCUUUGCUACUGUGGACUGGAGCAAUACUCAUCUGCAGGGCAUUUGAUCCUGUAGUUCUUCAGUCAGAAGCAAGCCAGGCUGUGAAGCAACGACUUCUGAAUUUUGUACGAUCACUAUCAACUGUGCUGGCAUUUGCCUAUUGUUUAUCAAGGUAUGUUUUCUUGCCAACGUACUUAUGUCAUUUAAGGGCUUUGCAAUUACUUUUGUUGAUAUUUAGAUUUAGUUCACUAAAGCACUUGGCUGCUGAUUAAUUGGUCAACUUUCUAAUUUCUUGUUCCAGUAAAAAUUAAAUGUAUUUAUAGUUUGUUUUAAAAAUUUAAUGAUGAAAUUGUUACCUUGUUUGGGCAAGUGGUUGGCAUAUCUUUUUGAGUCACUUGGUCAAUCUGGAAGCAUGCAUCUCCAACUUUGCAGCCUGAUGUGUUCUCUUACUUAAUAUGCAGUUUUGCUUCUGGUGCUCAGUUUUUUCAUUGAAUGUUGAUAAUAUCCCAUUUUGGUUUUAAUUCUUACUGGCUUGUUUAUUGCCCUUGUCUUUUGUAUGUUUAAUUUCUUUUGGGGCUUGAAUUAUAAAUAUUAUCAUGGCCAUUUCCUCUUCACAGCUUGAUACAACAGGCCCAAAAGUUCUCCACAGAGAUGAAUGACUCUGAUGAUGCAAGAAAUGUAUGUUUCUGUGAACUCUGCAGUUACAACUGUCUUUAAUUCCUUUACAUGUCUUUAUUAGUGCUACUAUACGUGCACUAGAAAAUUGAAUUUUCCAUCAAGGAAUGGUUGACUUCAGCAUGUGAAACUGAAAAGAACUUUUGGCAUGGAAAUGAAUUAUAAAUGAUGUAUCACUUAAAUAUGUUGUGUAGGUUUACCUUUUGGUAACUGUGAGAUCCAAGCAUGGUAAACAGCAAUAAUGCAUCUCAGUCCUAGUUUCCUGGGUCAGUUUAAAUGAGUUCAUGUUUUGCAUUACCUCUCUAUUUAGGGUUAGAUACUCUGUUAAAUGCUUGUUUUGGCAUUAUUAUGCCUUUGACGAGUUUCCUAAUAUCCAGCUCUAGCUUCUGAUUUUGGGUCAGAAGUAUUUAUGUCCAGUUAUGCAAUAAUCUUCUAGUGGGGAAGUGCCUUAUCACCGCUCUUAAAAGCUGUGCAUUUCAUAAAAUACAAAAUGUUUCAAAUAUUUUUAAGAAGCCUACAAACAUUAUUUGGAUUCACUAGAUAUGCAUGAAAAGCUUUUGGUUAAAAGUCAAGGUGAUUAUAAUUUAUUAAUAAUGGGGCUGUGUUUAAGCUGAUGAAUAACAUUUUACAUCAGUUCUUUCUUGCUCUGGCAGAUGGGAUUUAAUUUUGCUGGAAAAGCUGUUUAUAGUGCUGUUUGGAUUGCUGCUGUAUCAUUGUUCAUGGAAUUGCUAGGUUUCUCUACGCAAAGAUGGCUCACAGCUGGGGGUCUUGGUACAGUAUUACUCACCCUUGCUGGUCGGGAGAUAUUUACAAAUUUUCUUUCAAGUGUAAUGAUCCAUGCAACACGCCCAUUUGUUGUGAAUGAAUGGAUUCAGACAAAGCUCGAAGGCUAUGAGGUUUCUGGCACUGUUGAGCAUGUGGGAUGGUGGUCACCUACAAUCAUAAGAGGUGAUGAUCGUGAAGCAGUUCACAUUCCAAACCAUAAAUUCACUGUGAAUGUUGUUAGAAAUCUCAGCCAGAAGACUCAUUGGCGCAUUAAGACUCACCUUGCUAUCAGUCACUUGGAUGUCAACAAAAUUAAUAACAUCAUUGCUGAUAUGCGCAAGGUUUUGGCCAAAAAUCCUCAAGUGGAGCAGCAAAGGCUGCACAGAAGAGUUUUCUUGGAUACCAUUGAGCCCGAGAAUCAGGCUCUCAAGGUGAGGCUUAAGUUGUGUUCUUUUCUCUGUUGAAUUUAUGAUAUAUGUUUUCUAAUGAAGACCAAAAUGAAGUGUGCAUUGUCUGAAGAAGAGGAUUCCUUUCUGAAAAGACGUCUUGAGAACAGUUUCUCUUCUCUCCGUGUUCUUAUUAUAAAUUUGCUUUGCUUGUGAAGGAUAAAGAAAUGUGAAAAAUUUGGAGAUUACGUGUUGAUUUUGGUGUUAAAGACAUGAAAUGACUCGUUUUUGGACUUCAUUGGGUUGCACAGUCCCUUUUGAAAUUAAGGGUUUGCUUCCCUUGGGUGGUUGUGUUUACAAUUGAUAAUUGAUGUACAUGUUAAUGUGCAUGCUCUAACCAAAGCUAAAGGCUCCUUGAUCACAACUGGCUGAAACUAUUAAUUGUUAUACUCCUAAAAAGAUCCAUCUCUAACUCUAGAGUUUGGUGUCUCUGCAAGUACAGAUAAGGUUACAUUUCUAGAGGCAUCUGGUUUUAAAAAAUUAGAAAAAAGGGUAAUUUUUUGGUUCAUAUUUGUAACUCGAUCUUGGUUUAAAAAUUUCUUCAUUGUCUUACUGUCUAUCUGUUGGCUUAUGUUGCAGAUUUUGGUAUCAUGCUUUGUGAAAACCUCACAUUUUGAAGAGUACCUCUGUGUAAAGGUAAGUCAUUUUUAUUAUGCAAAAUGAAUGUGUUGCUGCUAUUAGAUGGUAUAACAAUGCAGAGAAUUAAAUGUAUCUGUUGCUAUUAUUGCUUUCAAAAUCCUAUCUGUUUUUGGACAAAAACCAAACUCCAGGAAAUGAUUGUUUGAAUUACUUAAAGACUUCAAAUACUAAAUGUAGAGCCACAGAUUCCCUGGUAAUCAGCAGUUAUGGGCCAUCUGGCUCCUGCAUCUCUGUCUGGAUGGACAACUGGUGCAUGAUGGUCACUAUGAGUGCAUCUGUCAUGUUUGAUGUGUUAAUUUUGAUAUCCUCAUGUGCCUGGAUUUUCUGACUGUUGAUCUCCUUAUCUUCUACUAGAAAAUUAGCUGACUUGGCAUUAUCAAAUGCAAUGUGACAGGAAGCAAUACUCUUGGAUCUUCUUAGAGUUAUAAGCCAUCAUCGGGCCCGGCUUGCCACACACAUCCGUACUGUUCAAAAAAUAUACAAUGAGGCUGAUUUGGAUAAUGUACCAUUUUCCAACACUAUUUUUACUCAUUCAGGAGUAGCUGCUAACUGUCCAUUAUUGCUGAUCGAACCCUCUCAUAAAAUCAAUGCUGAUGAUAAAACUAAAGCUUCAACUCGUUCAGUACGUACUAAUGAGGAAAAGGAUGCAAAGGGUGAAGCAGCCUCAACAUCUGAGUCUAGGGCUGAGCCAAAUGUUGAUUCAAUAAAAGAUAAGGUCACAACAACAACUUCUGACUCCAGUACAACUUCUAACGUUUCAGCAAUCCCUAAAUCCAAUCCCCAACUUGGGAAAUCAUUGCAUGAUAAUUCAGUGCAAAACAGUUCUGAAACAUUGCAGCCUAGCGGAAGCACAGGACACGUAUGUAAGAAGAAAAUGGGGCUAAAUACUGAAGAAAUAACUCCAGGCAGGACAACACUUGAAGAAUAUUCAGUUAAUGAAUCUAAAAGAAGUGAUAUCCCGACAGCCACUUCACAGGCUAAACAGGACGUGGAGAGGACUGUCAGCUCACCAUCAGUAGGCCGGCCUCCUUUGGAAGAGAACAUUGUUCUCGGUGUUGCUCUUGAGGGCUCAAAACGAACACUUCUGAUUGAAGAAGAAAUUGAUCCAUCUUCUUUCCCCCAAAAGUCGAAGGAAUUGGCUGGCAGCCGGGAUGGAAAUGGGUCUCCUGCUGGGAAGGAUAAGAAAGAUGGUCAGAUGCCAACAGUUCCAAAUACCUCAAAAAUUGAUUAACAGUAUGAAAAGUUUGUGAAAUUCUGUGCUGUCAUAUAUGCCUCUUAAACAUUGAAACUGUACAAGAAUGCGAUUGCUGUGUUUUUGAAGCUGUCGCAAUGCUGUUCAUACAAGUCAGGAAUUGUCAUUCUUGUGAAUAAUUAUUAUUAUUAUUUUUUUAUAAAUUCAUAAUUUAAAUUUAUUUUUGGUAUUUUUAAUCUAUUUUAUUUUAAUUGACAUUUAGGUCAAAAUUCAACACUGAAUAUGAAAUGACCAAAAUGCCCUUUGUUGAACUUAUCGAGUUAUAUUUGUCUGUACCGAUUAACUUAAUUUUCUUAAAUUUUCUUUGACGUUUUUAAUGUCAUUUAAUCCUCUUAAAACCUUCAAAUUAAUCUAAGAUAUCUAUUUCACAGGGUUUCUCGCUGGUCUGGGGUCGGCAACUCUCUUCACAAUCGCUUUCCAGUACGGUCACCCAUCAUCGUGACUCCGGCUCCUUUAACCUACUUGCACUUCAUUUCUUUUAUUUUUCCUUAAAUUUUCUUGGUCUUUAUUCAAUCGAUUUAUGGC